This 407-nucleotide ribosomal RNA is filed under the name uncultured rumen bacterium. Its description in RNAcentral is "bacterial SSU rRNA". It matches the Rfam family "Bacterial small subunit ribosomal RNA", at positions 509 to 916 of the family's 1533-position model. The record is from RNAcentral.
CAGCAGCCGCGGUAAUACGUAGGGUGCGAGCGUUAAUCGGAAUUACUGGGCGUAAAGCGUGCGCAGGCGGCUUUGCAAGACAGAGGUGAAAUCCCCGGGCUCAACCUGGGAACUGCCUUUGUGACUGCAAGGCUAGAGUACGGCAGAGGGGGAUGGAAUUCCGCGUGUAGCAGUGAAAUGCGUAGAUAUGCGGAGGAACACCGAUAGCGAAGGCAAUCCCCUGGGCCUGUACUGACGCUCAUGCACGAAAGCGUGGGGAGCAAACAGGAUUAGAUACCCUGGUAGUCCACGCCCUAAACGAUGUCAACUGGUUGUUGGACGGCUUGCUGUUCAGUAACGAAGCUAACGCGUGAAGUUGACCGCCUGGGGAGUACGGCCGCAAGGUUGAAACUCAAAGAAAUUGACGG